RNAcentral lists this long non-coding RNA (2291 nucleotides) under Equus asinus (donkey). RNAcentral's name for it is "lncRNA (ENSEASG00005037355.1)". The record is from RNAcentral. Lineage: Eukaryota; Metazoa; Chordata; Mammalia; Perissodactyla; Equidae.
AAGAGUUAUAAUUCCAGUUAUGUCCACAUGGCCAGUUGCAGAAAUGAGGACUGUGCAAGUGCUAUUCAGUUUUUUUCUCCUUUUUUGUUUUAAAUUUAUGCUUCAUUUUAUUGUUUAUUGAAACAUUGAGACAGAGUAUUCUGACGCAUUCAGCAUCCACAAAGUCAAGUCAAUUUUAUCUGUGCUUCAAUAUUUGAUUAAUAGAAAGUUCUGUCAAGGGAUUCCCAGGGACAUCUUAGUUUGAAAUACAUCAUUAAAUGGGAUGCUGCUCAUAAAAACAUUCUUCCAAAAAUUGGCUUGCUCUUUGACCGUUUUCCUUCUCUUUUUUUAACUCUUUCUCGUUUCCCAAUCUUCUCCAUCUAACACAAGCGGAGAAGCAGGAACUACAAUUCCCAGAAUCCCUUUCCCCGUGUGGUCCAGGGUUGAAGUUUGCCAGUGAAGGCGCUCUGCGGGAUGUGAAGGUGGAAGAGAUAUCAAGGCAUAUUCUUUGGAAGUAGAUGCAGCCAGACUCUGAGUGCAUGUUGCUGCCACAGCAUGGCUUGAUGAGGGUAUAAGUUGGUGCCUGGGAUCCGAACCCACGAACCUGGGGUGCUGAAGCAGAGUGCACGAAACUUCAGCCACUCAGCCACGGGGCCAGCCGUACAAACAAUCUUUGAAUGGCCAGAGGCCUUCUCUCCACCAAGAGUGAGGUGGUAAGGGCAAGAAGGGAAGAAAUGACACUUGGUUAAGGAGCCACUGCUCAGGCGUGUCCACGGCCACCGCCAGUUCUCUUGGGCAGCCUAACAUCGGUCACAGUGGGCCCGCCUUCCUCCCUGUCUUCUGGGACCAGCCCACCCCAUCCCAGCUUCUCUGCCUGAAGCCAGUGGGUCAGUGAGGACGAGUGAGGACCCCAGACCCAGCUUGCCCACCGGUUUGUUAUGGGCUGCAGACUCUGGGUUCAAGGAGGGAAGUCAAAGGACUUUCCUUUUUACCUAACGUGUUUUAUCAGAAGUUUUGCAAGCUGGGGUUAUUGAAUAGUUUCCAGUCAUUAAUAAAGCUAACAUUUUAUUCUCCACUUGGCUCAAUUCCUCCUGUUUUCUAGCGAGAAGGACCCGGGAGGGGAAGAGCCGCAAGUGGUACGAUGGGGGCGCCGAACCCCGUCCCAAACGCCUGGCACAGAUGCUUUAUGGUCUCGUUUUGACUUUCUUUUUAGCGUCCACCACCCUGUACACAUUUUAAAUCGUAUAUAGUCAAACCUGUCAGUGUUUUCUGCUCCCGUUUUUAGGUUUCCUUCCUUAAGUCAUUUUUCAACAAGUGUCAUUUCAACACCUACGAUACACCAGAUACAGUUUCUAGUUCUGGGGAGACACCAAGAAUAACAAAACCACACAGAUUCUCGUCUCUCAUGAACUGUACGCUCUAGUCAGUUCUGGAAGGACAUUCCCACCCAAAGAUCACACAAAUAGUUGCCUGUAUUUUCUUCUAGCACUUUCAUGGUAUUAUACUGUUUUAUUUUUAGAUUUUUUUUAACCAAUUUGGAAGUUAUUUUUGUGAAUGGUGUGAGGUGGGGAACUUAACUUCCAGAUGAGAGGUAACUAUCUCAACAAUUUUGUGUGCGUGUAGUCUAUCGUUUCACCAUGAUUUGAAGUGACAUCUUGUCUUACAGUAAGUUCCCACAGAUACCUGGUUUUAUUUCAGACUCUUGGUAGGCAGCCUUCGAAUGGUUCCCGGUGGUCCCUACUUCCUGGGAACCAUGCCCUUGUGUGAUCCUCAUCCCUGGAGUGUGGGCUGGUCCUGGGGUCUCGCCUUUAACCAACAGAUUUCUGCAGGGGGGAUGGGAUGUCACUUCGGGGAUUAGCUCAUGAAAGGCUGUGACUUUCUCCUCUGGGCACUCUCUUGUUUCUCUCACUUGCUAAGUCUGGUCAAGCUGGCUGCCAUGUCAGGAACUGCUUCAUGGAUGGGCUCGUGUGUUGAGAAACUGAGGGUGGUCGGGCUCUGGCCUAUCGUCAGGGAGGAGCUGAGGCUCUUAGUUCAGCCCUCCAUGAGGGACUGAAUCCCACGUCCAGCCACUGAGUGAGAGUGGAAGAGAAUCCCGGCUCAGUUGAACCUUGAGAUGACCGUGGCCCCAGCUGGCGCCUUGACUGUGGCCUUACCAGAGAUCCUGAGCUGAGUGAGCUGAGCCACAUCUGGUCUGACCCAGAGAUGAUAAGAUGAUAAGUGGUGUUGUUUUAAGCCAGACAUCCAGCACUGUUUCCAGUCCUCUGCUCGAAGGCGGGGGCUCUUCAACCUCCCGGGCACUCUUGGAGCCUGGC